GAGUUUGAUCAUGGCUCAGAACGAACGUUGGCGGCGUGCUUAACACAUGCAAGUCGAACGAGAACGGUUUCUUCGGAGACCUAGUAAAGUGGCGCACGGGUGAGUAACACGUAGAUAACCUGUCCAGGUGUUCGGGAUAGCCCUUCGAAAGGGGGAUUAAUACCGGAUACGUUAGUCUGUUAUAAGGCAGAUUAAGAAAGGUGGCCUCUAUUUAUAAGCUAUCGCAUUUGGAGGGGUCUGCGUACCAUUAGUUUGUUGGUGGGGUAAAGGCCUACCAAGACUUCGAUGGUUAGCGGGUCUGAGAGGAUGAUCCGUCACACUGGCACUGAAACACGGGCCAGACUCCUACGGGAGGCAGCAGUGAGGAAUAUUGCGCAAUGGGGGAAACCCUGACGCAGCGACGCCGCGUGGGUGAGGAAGGCUUUCGGUCGUAAGCCCUGUCAGAA
Molecule: ribosomal RNA, 446 nt
Filed under: uncultured microorganism
Description: bacterial SSU rRNA
Rfam family: Bacterial small subunit ribosomal RNA
Source: RNAcentral